RNAcentral lists this small nuclear RNA (43 nucleotides) under Cervus elaphus hippelaphus. It matches the Rfam family "U2 spliceosomal RNA", at positions 1 to 43 of the family's 192-position model. Rfam says of the family: U2 is a small nuclear RNA (snRNA) component of the spliceosome (involved in pre-mRNA splicing). The record is from RNAcentral. Lineage: Eukaryota; Metazoa; Chordata; Mammalia; Artiodactyla; Cervidae.
AUCGCUUCUCGGCCUUUUGGCUAAGAUCAAGUGUAGUAUCAGU